GCCGGCAUAGCUCAGCUGGUAGAGCAACGCAUUCGUAAUGCGUAGGUCCUCCGUUCGAGUCGGAGUGUCGGCACCA
This 76-nucleotide transfer RNA is filed under the name Lysobacterales bacterium. RNAcentral describes it as "Xanthomonadales bacterium tRNA-Thr". It matches the Rfam family "tRNA". Rfam says of the family: Transfer RNA (tRNA) molecules are approximately 80 nucleotides in length. Their secondary structure includes four short double-helical elements and three loops (D, anti-codon, and T loops). Further hydrogen bonds mediate the characteristic L-shaped molecular structure. tRNAs have two regions of fundamental functional importance: the anti-codon, which is responsible for specific mRNA codon recognition, and the 3' end, to which the tRNAs corresponding amino acid is attached (by aminoacyl-tRNA synthetases). tRNAs cope with the degeneracy of the genetic code in two manners: having more than one tRNA (with a specific anti-codon) for a particular amino acid; and 'wobble' base-pairing, i.e. permitting non-standard base-pairing at the 3rd anti-codon position. The record is from RNAcentral. Lineage: Bacteria; Pseudomonadati; Pseudomonadota; Gammaproteobacteria; Lysobacterales.